UUUUUGUUUCCUUUUUGCUUCUGUCCUUUCACCUCUAUUAAAAUCAAACACUUGGAACAGGGAGGAGUUCAGUGCUGGAGGUAAAUGCGAAUGUCUUUUCUCUGAAAUGCUUGGAAAUUACCUUUGACGUUAACAGAGGCUAGCACAGUGACUACGCAUUUUAUUUCUAUUUUAAAAGAAACGCAGCUCAUGGUAUAAAGCAUUCUUUCAGCCCCAAAGAGUAAAAAUGAAUGCACGAAACCCCCCCUCCCCCCACGCUUAGCCCCUCUGAGAACCUCUGCUGAGUAUCUUGUCUGUCUCUCUUUUUUUUUUUUUUUUUUUUUUUUUGAGAGAAGAGUUUCACUCUUGUUGCCCAGGCUGGAGUGCAAUGCAGGAUCUCGGCUCACCGCAACCUCCUUCUCCCAGGUUCAAGCAAUUCUCCUUGCCUCAGCCUCCCGAGUAGCUGGGAUUACAGGUGUGCACCACCACACCCACCUAAUUUUGUAUUUUUUAAGUAGAGACGGGGUUUCUCCAUGUUGGUCAGGCUGGCCUUGUACUCCCGACCUCAGGUGAUCCGCCUGCCUCUGUCUCCCAAAGUGCUGGGAUAACAGGCGUGAGCCACGUGCCUGGCCUUGUCUGUGUCUCUUUUUGCGAAGAUGAAGACAUUCUUUGCACACUGAGCUGCACCCUGUGGGUCACAGUUUUGGAAUUUUCUACUAAGUUGUUAUAUCUGGUUUCUGAUACAGUCUGGAUGUGCGUCCCCUCCAAAUCUCAUGUUGAAAUGUCAUUCGCAGUGUUGGGGGUGGAACCAGGUGGGAGGGUUUGGGUCAGCAGGGCAGAUCCUCCUGAAUGGCGCGGUGCUGUCCUCGAGGCACUGAGUUCUCGCAAGAUCCGUUUGUUUAAAAGCGUGUGGCACCUCUCUACCCUCCUGCUUCCCUGUCGCCUUCCACCGUGAUUGGACACUUCUGGAGGCUCCCCCAGAAGCCGAGCAGAUGCGAGCACCAGGCUUCCCGUAGAGCCCACAGAACCGGGAGCCCAUCGAACCUCUUUUCUUUAUAAAUUGCCCAGCCUCGGGGCUCUCUUAACAGCAGCAGAAGAGCAGCCUAACACAGCCUCCCAUCAGCACCAAAGAAAACCAGAAGAAGGACUAGGGAGCCACGGAGUGUCGGUUCAAGUCCUGAUUCAAUGACUGAAAAGCUCAAAUCCUGGGAAGAAAACAACUUCAAGUCACCCAUCCCUUUUGUCGUCGUCCAUAAUAUCAGGAUCAACGCUUGAAUUCUACAGGCCUCACAAGUCUGUGUUUAACUCACUGCGACAAGUGAACUCUUUGUUAACCACAGGAAAUGUUAAUGAUUAACAGGCACCGUGUUUACCAACUGAGGGACUAAAUAAACAGGCACCGUAUUUACCAACCGAGGGACUAAAUAAACAGGCACCGUAUUUACCAACUGAGGGACUAAAGAAACAAUCCAGACAGGAGGCCAUCCAUCGAGGGUUGCAGAGUCACCAAAAAACAUCUGCCUGAUUGACUCAAUGUUGCUUUUUCUGUUUCCCUCCCUCCCUCCCUCGUUCCCUCCCUCCCUCCCUCCUUCCCUCCCUCCUUUCCUUGCUCCCUGACAGAGUCUUGCUUUGUUGCCCAGGCUGGAGGGCAAUAGUGCAAUCUUGGCUCACUACAACCUCUGCCUCCUGGAUUCAAGUGAUUCUCCCACCUCAGCCUCCCAAGUAGCUGGGAUUACAGGCACCCACCACCACGUCCAGCUAAUUUUGUAUUUUUUAGUACAGAUGGUUUCACUAUAUGUGGGUUAGCCUGGUCUCGAACUCCUGACCACAGGUGAUCCACCCACCUCAGUCUCCUAAAAUGCUAGAUUACAGGCAUGAGCCACCACACCCAACUAAAUGUGGCUUUUCCUAUUUUGCUUGUGUUGCUUGUAAAUGUUCAAGAAAAGCCAUCAGGAUCAUGUAAAAACGGACUCAUCUAAAUUAGCAGAAACAUGAUUUGCACAGUCAGAUUUACACUUUUCCAAGUGUGUUGACGUUUUUUAAAAAGCGUGUGGUCACCGGAUCUUCACCAUGGUUUCAUUUUCCCCGUUGUCGACGGGGCAGCCACAGAGGGGUUAAGUAACCUCAAGUUCACUCAGCAAAUUAGAAAACAAAACUGGGACUGGCACCCAGGGUCCUGGCUGGGCCGCUCUGGCUGCCUGCUACUCGCCCAUCCGGGAUGAGUUACCUUCCUGCACACCUGCCGAAGAGGACCAGGCACUCCGUGAGGGUUCCUUAAUAACACAGGUUACAAAGCAGCAGCUGCACGCAACAGGAACUGAUCGCGGCUGCUUUCAGCGGGAAAGGACAUUUUUCCUAAAGGAUUUUGGGAAGCUCCCGGGAUCCCCAGGAGGGCUUGGAGCUGUGCAGCAACAAUUGCCCAAAUCCCGUGCAGAGCUCAGCUGUGCAGAUGCCGGUGCUGCCGUCUCUGAAUCCCAGAUGCACACCAGCUCCCCUGCACUCCUCACUCUGGACCUAGGCCCCCUCCUCGAGGCUCCAUAGCCACCUAUGCAGGCAUCAGGCUGCUCCUCCAUGUCACUGGCUACAGGUUAAAAAUCUAGACAGAGGGCCGGGCGUGGUGGCUCACGCCUGUAAUCCAAGCACUUUGGAGGCCAAGGCUGGUGGAUCACCUGUGAUGGGGAGUCCAAGAUCAGCCUGACCAACAUGGGGAAACCCCGUCUUUAAAAAAAAAAAAUCUAGACAGAGCCAGACCAUGCGCCAACGGUCUAGCUACAAGGCAGGCCCGACCAAGGGAGGCUGUGAGUGUCCUGAGGCUGCUGCACAAAGCCCCACAGACCGGGAACCUUAAGCAACAAAAACGGGUUCUCUCGCAGCUCUGCAGGCCAGAAGUCUGAAAUCAAGGCGUGAACAAGCAGGCCUGGCUCCUUCUGGAGGCUGUGAGGGGCGCUGGUUCCAUGUCUCUCUCUCAGACCCACGUGGCUGCCAGCAAUCUUUGCCACUCCUGAGCUCCGUACACUGCAUCGCUCUAAUCUCUGCCUGUGUCGUCACGUGAUGGCAUUCUCCCGUGUCUCCGUGUCACCAAGCUCUCUCUGCCAGGUCUUAUAAAGAUGCCUCUCUUUGAAUUUUGAGACCACCUAAAUCUAGGGUGGGCCCAUCUCAAGAUCCCUGAAGGAUUAUAUCUGUGCAGACCUUUUUCUAAGUCAGGGCCCAUUCAUUCACAAGUCCAGGGAGUAGGCUGUGACCAGAUCUUUCUAGGGGGACACAAUUCAACCCACCGCAGCAAGCAUCUGCCCUUCCAUCGUCUGCACUGGGAGGCUGGCUCAGCUCUCCACCAAGCCCAUGUCACAGGGGAUUCUCCAGACUUGGGUAGGGUUUGAGCCAAAGAGGGCAAAAAAGCCUUAGUGCGGAGUCGUCACCCACCUUUACAGAUGCAGAAAGCUGCACAGUCACCACAGGCCAGCAUGCAGAUGCCCGAGGGCAGCAGGUGCCUCUCCCCUUUCCUUUUCUCUCCAGCGCCUGGGCUUUUCCUCAGCGUUCCCCCCAAUCUCCUGUGCCCCGCCCAGAAGCUAGUGCCAGCUCCCACCAUGCGCUUUUCCCGGAAAGUGCAAACAGGCAAGUUGAAAGGCCCAUGCGGUAACUCUUAAAACUCUUAAAGAGAAUGAUGCUGCCUCCCAACAUGAUAUUUAGUAACCUUGCGUGGCUUCGAGUAACUGCCCCUGCAGAAUAACCACCAACCCAAAAGAAAACUGUUCCUAUUUUGCCUCCAAGUGGCAGGUGACUGAAGGCCCAGAGGAGCUUCCCCUCUAGCCUGUUCUAGCUGCAAAAUUCUCCAAAAUUGCUAACGUCUCAGAAGGAAGGCAUCUUCCCACAGGGCCCUCAGUAAAUGCACACAGACAGCCUAGAAGAGGACCCCACUCUUCACCCCCCGCGCUCAGGCUCACUGCACAGACCAGAAUUACUGGUGCUUCUGCAGGUAAACGCAGGCGUUACUAGUCGUACUGAUUUCUAGCACCGGAGGCCUAGGACUGCAGACAUGGGAUUGAAGCUCACCUCUCCAAGGAGUAGGGAAGGAGAACAGUCUAGGGGUUGUGCAGGACAGGGAAGGGCCUGGGCAAGGUUGGGGGAGCCUCGCUGCAGUCCCCCUGACUGGCCUCCUCGCCCCACGUGCAGCUCAUACCCCGACUCCAGGGGGCAGCUGUGCCAGGCUUUGGGUUCAUCCUCCCGGGCACUUCUGGCUGACAGCCCCCCACUCUCCAGCAGGUCUGCUUUAGCAGGAGGUGGCCAGGACACUGCACGUGUGCUGAACGCAGGGAGUUUGAGUUCCAGAGAGAUUUCGAGGGCAGCAGAACCUUCACCCAAAGAUGCGCAUACCCCGACAUUCGAGGAAGCUUGGAGGGCGGAAAGGGAAAGUCCUUUUGAGGAGAGGGCCUGCACGUGAGCCUCUCACACAGGCCACUGGGGAAGCACAUGGCCAGCUUCUCAGAAGGUCAGUCCCAACCCUGCAUGGCUGCCAGAAGCUAGCCAGAUGGGGAAGGCGGCCAGGAGCAGGGCCAGGGCUAGAGGCAGAUGCUCCCAUCUACAUAUGUACGUGCACGUGUAAUCACACAGAGAAAGGUGCACAUGUACUCACAUAUACACAUGUGAAAUCACACAGACAUGUCAGGCUGUCACUGCACACAUGUGCAAACACCCAGGCACAUGCAGAUACAUUCAUACAUAUGAUCACAUACACACACAUGCACACAGCUUCUGCUAUACAUGAGCUGCUGUGAGCUGUUUUUGUUUGUUUGUUUAUUUUUUGAGAAGGAGUUUCACUCUUUCACCCAGGCUGAGUGAAGUGGCGCUAUUUUGGCUCACUAUACCCUCCACCCCAGGGUUCAAGCAAUUCUCCUGCCUCAGGCUCCUGAGUAGCUGAGAUUAUAGGUGCCCGCCACCAUAAAAAUACUAAUUUUUGUAUUUUUAGCAGAGACGGGGUUUUGCCAUGUUGGCCAGGCUGGUCUUGAACUCCUGACCUCAAGAGAUCUACCCACCUCAGCCUCCCAAAGUGUUAGGAUUAUAGGCAGGAGCCACCAUGCCUGGCCAAACUGUUUUCUGCUUCUUGAGUUAGGGGACUCAUCCACUAGAACUGGCCACCUUAAAGCCAUAUUGCGUUGUGGCGGACUUGUCUCAAAUGGCAUUUCCCGCUUCUUCUUAAAUGUAUAAUUCCUCUGAAUCGAAUAUAAAUGUCUUCAUUUCUCUUCAUUGACUUUCAAAGCUCUUCUUCCUUUUGAUAUAAAAAAUUUAGCCUUGUUCCAGCAAUCUGGGAUUUCCCUUAGGUUAAAACUAUUUCGUAAACAGAACACCCAGGCCCCUCCCUUCACGUCCUGACUGGAGGUGAACCAUUAAAAAGAGAUUUUAAAGCCAGGCCCUUUACUCCCUUCCUUCCUGGUUUGUGGCCAGGACACAGGGCAGCUCUGCUCCAUCCACCCUUUGUCCCAGAGCUCUGGGCUUGGAGCAGAACCUAAGCUGGGCCAGGACAGGAGCUGACAGCCUGGGACAAAGUUUAACCCGGAGGGAAGGAUGGGGGCAUCCAAACAGCCCGGAAGCCUGGAUGCUAGAAGCAAGCCUUGCUGUUCACUGUCACUCAGGAAGUGUGCGCUCCACGGGCUCUUUAGGGAGGAAGUGUUGAAACACAGCUCUAUUCAUACAUGUCUUUAAACAACUUUCACUAGCUCUGCAGCCAAAGGGCCUGCCAGAUUCUCGGCCUCUUGCCCAGCGCUUUGAGGCUGGGGAAGGAGCACAGCACAGGACCUGCUGAGCGUGGCCCAGCUCUCCCAACCCACCAGCCCGCUUCCCCCAAAGCCGGCAUCUCUCAGAAAAUCCCUCUUAGAGCUUUUCCUGCAGGUGGCCUGGGACUUGUGUAAGCUCACAAAAAUCUCUUUUAAAGUCUUUUUUUUUUUUUUUUUUUUUUUUUUUCUGAGACGGAGUCUCGCUCUGUCAACGAGGCUGGAGGGCAGUGACGUGAUCUCAGCUCACUGCAAUCUCCGCCUACCAGGUUCAAGUGAUUCUCCUGCCUCAGCCCCCCCGUAGCUGAGAUUACGGCAGCCUGCAAACAUGCCUAGCUAAUUUUUGUAUUUUUAGUAGAGACGGGGUUUUGUCAUGUUGGUUGGACAAGCUGGUCUCAAACUCCUGACCUUAGGUGAUCCACCCUCCUUGGCCUCCCAAAGUGCUGGGGUUACAGGCGUGGGCCACCAUGCCUGGCUUAAAGCCCUUUUAAGAGGACAGGCCAGGGUUUCCAGAUGAUCCUGGCCCCCACACCAGCAUAUCCUAGGGUCCGCACCUGGUCAGCGGGAAUAACGGGCAGUUGUGGGCUGGACUGCCAGCCCCCAGCAGGGCGGAGUGGGCCAAGGAGCCUCUGCUUCGGUUUGGGGUGUGUGGUCAGUGUCUGCCUACCUUCAGCUUUUGAAGGCAGAGGAGGGGGUCAGGAUGGGCAGAGCUGACGUCCAGGCUCCCUGAUCCUGCUGCUGUCUGUGUAGACCUCUCAACUCAAGGCCCCACACCCCUCAGGACCCGCCUGCUCCUCCCUCUGGGUUGAGGUGGAGCAGGGGUGGGAAUGGGUCAAUGAGGGGAGCUGUGGAAUCUUCCCCACAGCAGCCUGGCAUCCUAGAAAGGCCAGGGAGUGAGGAGGCAGGACCCCCAGGGACACAGGCACCCACAUCCGCCGCAUGCUCACCUCUGCCUCCUCCCGCAGACCUCCAACCCAGCCCCGCCAUUCACGGCAUCUUGUUUUCUCUGCGUUGAGGAAGGCACAGCUUUUGCCAUCUUGUUACCCACUAUCCAUUUACUUGCCAACAGCCUUUUCAGAAACUUAACUGCCACAAAUUCUGCAUCUCUGGGAUUCCUGCUAGGGAUGCUGUGCUGCGUCACCCGAGAGGUGUGAUUUUAAUACCAUCCCAAUAGUAGCCAGGGAGGCAGAUCUCAGUGGGCUGCACUGUCAAUCAAACCAUGCUCACAUCACAAACCAUGAGCCAGCUUAAAACGGAGCCUUGUGUGCACAUGGGGCGGAGUAUAGAUCUGUUGCAAACUCAUUUAGCAGCAAAAAUGUGAUCUGAACUGACAUGAAGUCCUUGGUAUUUAUUUAUCCUGCUCAGUAUGAUAAGUAAACAUUUUCUUCAAGGGAGAAAAAGAAAAAUGUGAGCUGGGAUGCCAGCCAUUGAUAUAGGGAAGGCCCGUAACCUCCUGAUGAGUGAAAUGGGCCAGUUAGAAAAUACACCGAAUUUUAUUUUUUAAAAUUAAUAAUAGAUAUAUAGAUACAUAGACACAGAAAGCAUGGAUAGAUGAUAGAUAGAUAGAUACAUACAUACACAAAUAGAUACAUAGAUACGAUGGAUAAAUAGAAAGAUAGGUAGAGGCUGGAUGAGGGCUCAUACCUGUAAUCCCAACCCUGUGGGAGACUAAGGCAGGAGGAUCACUUUAGUCCGGGAGUUCAAGACCAUCCUGGGCGACAUGGUGAAACCUCAUCUCUACAAAAAAUACGAAAAUCAGCCAGGUGUGGUGGUGUACCCUUUUAGUUCCUGCUACUCAGGAGGCUGAAGUGGGAGGAUCAUUUGAGCCUGGGAGGUGAAGGUUGCAGUGACCUGUGAUUGUUCCACUGCACUGCAGCCUGAGUGACAGAGCAAGACUGUGUCUCAAAAAGAAAAAAAAAAACGAAAGAAAGAAAUGAGGAUAGGCGCAUCUCUCCAGCCCGCUCGAACGCUCCCCACAGCCACUGCCACCCACUGGAAUGGCCAACAGGGGACCUGCAUAUGGCCUGAGCCGGGAGGUGCAGCAGAACAUUGAAAAGCAACACGACGCAGACCUGGAGCAGAUCCUGAUCCAGUGGAUCACCACCCAGUGCCCAAAGGAUGUGGGCCGGCCCCAGCCUGGGUGGGAGAACUUCCAGAACUGGCUCAAGGAUGGCACGGUGCUAUGUGAGCUCAUUAAUGCACUGCACCCGAGGGGCAGGCCCCUGUAAAGAAGAUCCAGGCCUCCACCAUGGCCUUCAAGCAGACGGAGCAGAGGUCUCAGUUCCUGCAGGCAGCUGAGGGCUGUGGCAUUAGCACCGCCGACAUCUUCCAAACCGUGGACCUCUGGGAAGGAAAGAACAUGGCCUGUGUGCAGCAGACACUGAUGAAUCUGGGUGGCUGGCGGUAGCCCAGGAUGAUGGGCUCUUCUCUGGGGAUCCCAAUUGGUUCCCUAAGAAAUCCAAGGAGAAUCCUCGGAACUUCUCGGACAACCAGCUGCAAGAGGGCAGGAACGUGAUCAGGUUACAGAUGGGCACCAACCGCAUGACAGGCUACAGGAUGCCAGGCCAGAUCCUCUGACCUCACCCCAGGCCUUGCCCCUGCCCUCCCAUGAAUGGUUAAUAUAUAUGUAGAUAUAUAUUUUAGCAGUGACAUUCCCAGAGAGCCCCAGAGCUCUCGAGCUCCCUUCCGUUAGGGAGGGAGUUCAGCCUCUCCUGUCACCUCUGGGGUGCCUGUUGGCAGCCCCUCCCCCCAGCUAAUACAUUCCCUACCCCAUACCCAUCAAAACUGGACCAACUGGGCUCUUCUUUUCCCCUGGGACCAAAAUGAAGGGGCCUCAGCACCCCCACCACUAUGCCUCUCCUUCCUCCUGGCCUGCUCUGUCCCUGAGCUCUGUGCCCUCCAUCCAUCCAUGGCUGGGCAUCAGUGAUGCUGCCUCUGCUUUCUGAUGCUGGACUUGCCUUGCUUCUACAAGCUGCUUCUCCCACAGCUGUGGCUGAGGGAACUUAAUUUAUAGGGAGGAGCCUGUGGCAGCUGCUGCCCCAGCCACAGCUGCACUGACUGUGCUCACCACACAUCUGGGGCAGCCUUCCCUGGCAGAGGCCCUCACGGCUUCUCAUUUUCCAUUCCCCUCACUGUGGCUAAGGGGUGGGGUGAGGGGAUGGAGAGGGAGGGCUGUCUACCAUGCUCUGGGGCUUUAGGAAGAUGAGUUUGUUGAUUUAAAUAAAGAAUUUGUCUUUUUU
Molecule: RNA transcript, 8983 nt
Organism: Callithrix jacchus (white-tufted-ear marmoset)
Lineage: Eukaryota; Metazoa; Chordata; Mammalia; Primates; Cebidae
Gene name: transgelin-2 pseudogene
Source: RefSeq, a predicted model, not a curated record